GUGAUUAUGAAAGGUUGUCUUCUGUGCUGGCUGCGGCAGGUGCACGUUGGUGACUUUCAUCCAACACCCUUGUGAACCUUUGGCCUCUUGCUGGCUUCGGCUGGCUGAGGAUUUACACAAACUUGCAUGUAUUGAAGACCCUUCAUGUGCGCAAGCACUAAUAUA
This 165-nucleotide unclassified non-coding RNA is filed under the name uncultured Sebacinaceae. Its description in RNAcentral is "sequence contains ITS1". The record is from RNAcentral. Lineage: Eukaryota; Fungi; Basidiomycota; Agaricomycetes; Sebacinales; Sebacinaceae.